AGAGUUUGAUCCUGGCUCAGAGGAACGCUGGCGGCAGGCCUAACACAUGCAAGUCGAGNNCCCCGCAAGGGGAGCGGCGGACGGGUGAGUAACACGUGGGAACGUGCCCUUCGGUUCGGGAUAACUCAGGGAAGCUUGAGCUAACACCGGAUACGCCCUUCGGGGGAAAGGUUACGCCGAAGGAUCGGCCCGCGUCUGAUUAGCUUGUUGGUGGGGUAAUGGCCCACCAAGGCUACGAUCAGUAGCUGGUCUGAGAGGAUGAUCAGCCACACUGGGACUGAGACACGGCCCAGACUCCUACGGGAGGCAGCAGUGGGGAAUCUUGCGCAAUGGGCGAAAGCCUGACGCAGCCAUGCCGCGUGAAUGAUGAAGGUCUUAGGAUUGUAAAAUUCUUUCAGCGGGGAAGAUAAUGACGGUACCCGCAGAAGAAGCCCCGGCUAACUUCGUGCCAGCAGCCGCGGUAAUACGAAGGGGGGCUAGCGUUGCUCGGAUUUACUGGGCGUAAAGGGCGCGUAGGCGGACGAUCAAGUUGGGGGUGAAAUCCCGGGGCUUAACCUCGGAACUGCCUCCAAAACUGAUCGUCUAGAGUUUGGGAGAGGUGUGUGGAACUCCGAGUGUAGAGGUGAAAUUCGUAGAUAUUCGGAAGAACACCAGUGGCGAAGGCGAACCUGGCCCAAUACUGACGCUGAGCGCGAAAGCGUGGGGAGCAAACAGGAUUAGAUACCCUAGUAGUCC
Molecule: ribosomal RNA, 735 nt
Filed under: uncultured bacterium
Lineage: Bacteria
Description: bacterial SSU rRNA
Rfam family: Bacterial small subunit ribosomal RNA
Source: RNAcentral